UACGUAGGGCGCAAGCGUUGUCCGGAAUUAUUGGGCGUAAAAGAGCUCGUAGGCGGCUUGUCACGUCGGGUGUGAAAAGCCCGGGGCUUAACCCCCGGGUCGCAUUCGAUACGGGCAGGCUAGAGUGUGGUAGGGGGAGAUCGGAAUUCCUGGUGUAGCGGUGAAAAUGCGCAGAUAUCAGGAGGAACACCGGUGGCGAAGGCGGAUCUCUGGGGCCAUUACUGACGCUGAGGAGCGAAAGCGUGGGGGAGCGAAACAGG
Molecule: ribosomal RNA, 260 nt
Filed under: uncultured bacterium
Lineage: Bacteria
Description: partial 16S ribosomal RNA
Rfam family: Bacterial small subunit ribosomal RNA
Source: RNAcentral